AUGAACGCUAGCGGGAGGCCUAACACAUGCAAGUCGAGCGGGAUUGGCAGCAAUGCCAUGAGAGCGGCGCACGGGUGAGUAACGCGUAUGCAACCUACCUUAAACAGGGGGAUAGCCCAUGGAAACGUGGAUUAAUACCCCAUAUUAUUAUAUAUCCGCAUGGAUUUAUAAUCAAAGCUCCGGCGGUUUAAGAUGGGCAUGCGUGACAUUAGUUAGUUGGUGAGGUAACGGCUCACCAAGACUACGAUGUCUAGGGGUUCUGAGAGGAUGAUCCCCCACACUGGUACUGAGACACGGACCAGACUCCUACGGGAGGCAGCAGUGAGGAAUAUUGGUCAAUGGGCGCAAGCCUGAACCAGCCAUCCCGCGUGAAGGAUGACGGCCCUAUGGGUUGUAAACUUCUUUUCUGUACCAAGAAACAAUCCCUCGCGAGGGGUCUUGACGGUAGUACAGGAAUAAGGACCGGCUAACUCCGU
Molecule: ribosomal RNA, 476 nt
Filed under: uncultured bacterium
Lineage: Bacteria
Description: bacterial SSU rRNA
Rfam family: Bacterial small subunit ribosomal RNA
Source: RNAcentral